This 2622-nucleotide long non-coding RNA is filed under the name Homo sapiens (human). RNAcentral describes it as "long intergenic non-protein coding RNA 2475". The record is from RNAcentral. Lineage: Eukaryota; Metazoa; Chordata; Mammalia; Primates; Hominidae.
AGUAAGUACGAAUCGGCCUUAGGUUCCCUGCCUCAAGACCCUAUUCUCCUGCCUCACUUUUAGCUAAGGGUUAUUACAAAAGAGUCAGAAAGUUAAGACAAAAUAUGAAAGUUUAUAAAGUAAAAAGAGUUACAGUGAGCUAAGUAUAACUUAUUGAAAACAUUUUUUUAAUUUAGUAUAGCCUAACUGUGUUUAUACAGUCUACAGUAGUAUACAGUAAUAUCCUAGACCUCCACAUUCCCUCGCCACUCACUCACUCACUCACCGACUCACUCAGAGCAACAUCCAGUCCUGGAAGCUCCAUUCACAGAAGCUAUUGGAAGAGAUGCUCAAAGAAGAAAAAAUUACCAUAAUCCAAUAAAGAAGAAGACCUGAGAUCCAGGAAGCAGAUGAUCUGAACUGCAGAGAAAGUUCAGGAAAGUUCCCUCAUUCAUGAUGAUGGGAAAUAACAGUAAAUUCUGUACAGCAGUCUUGGACAACAACCAAUCUAAACUGGCACAGUGCAGAGGCAAUCAACAGAGAACAUAAUAUUGAUAGAAUGCCUGACGCUUUUGAUUGUAUUCACAGGAAACAUAAACAAUUGGAAGACAGUUUAUGAAUGAAUUAGUGAUAAGCAUUUUUUUUCAACUUUUAUUUUAGAUUCAAGGGUACAUGUGCAGGUUUGGUGCCUGGGUAUACUGGGUGAUGCUGAGGUUUGUGUUACAAAUGAUCCCAUCAUCCAGGUACUGAGCAUGGUAUCCAGUAGUUAGUUUUUAACCCUUCUCCUGUCUCUCUCCUGGUGGUCCCCAGUUUCUACUGUUGCCAUCUUUAUGUCCAUGAGUAUACAAUGUUUAGCUCCCACUUGUGAGAACAUGCGUAUUUGCCUAUUUAAUUAUUUGUUUAUUUGUUGAGACAUAGUUUCACUCUCUAGCCCGAUCUUGGCUCACUGCAACCUACGCUUCCUGUGUUCAAGCGAUUCUCUUGCCUCGGCCUCCCCAGUAGCUGAGAUUACAGGCACCUACUACCAUGCCUGACUAAUUUUUGUAUUUUAAUAGAGAUAGGGUUGCACCCUGUUGGCCAGGCUGGUUUCAAAUUCCUGAUCUCAAGCGAUCCACUCACCUUGGCCUCCCAAACGGCUGGGAUUACAGGCUUGAGCCACCACGCCCAGCCACUAUUUGCUUUUCUAUUCCUGCAUUAAUUUGCUUAGGAUAAUAGCCCUCAACUUCAUCCAUUUUGCUGCAAAGAAAAUAAUUUUGUUCUUUUUUAGGGCUGCAUAGUAUUCCAUGGUGUAUAUGUACCACAUUUGUUUUAUUUAAUCCACUGUUGAUGGACACCUGGGUUUAUUCUAUGCCUUUGCUACUACAAAUAGGGCUGUGAUGAACAUGCAAAGGCAUGUGUCUCCUUGAGAUAAAUAUUUUAAAAAUACAAUAAAAUCAAAAAAAUUAAUGUCAGGGCUAACAUACAGUUAUUAGAAAAAAAAAUAUUUUGUUAUUAUAGAUAGACACUAGCUUUAACAUAAUAAUAGUUAUGUAAGUAGUCGAAGUUCAUAUGAUCAAAAUUAUUAUUUAGCUGUUUUAAAAGAAUGCAGAUAUAAGAGAUAUACCAUUAAUGGUGAAUAGUUCCAGUAAAAGCAAGCUAAGCUCUCUUUCACAUUCCAUAGAGGGAAUUUAAUAAGCCCUGAAACCGAAAGUUCAAGAAGGAAAAGUGCAAGUCCUACAUGAAUUGAUCAAUGAUUGCCUCUGGAAAUUAUUGGUGUGAAUGGGGAGGCAAAAUUGCUAGUUUGGUUAAUAAGCUAUGUAACUGUUUGAUAAUUCUUCACUUGCAUGUAAACUUCGGUACAAAUAAAAGCUAAUGAAAACAGAGACAGAAUUAUUAAAUCAUCAUAACAUAAAGUUAACAUUUUUCAUCAUUUUUCACUUGUUCAAAGAUCAUAAGAAAUUUUCAUCUUAAUUUUCAAGCAUCAACUAAUGUUUCUACUCUCCCUGAGUACCAUAAAAAGCCUUCUGUGGACAGUCUAAGUGACAAUGACACAUUAGAUUUGGCAAAAAUUACUUUCAGAUGUAAAUCAAUUUGAGAAUGAACUGAUGCUCUGAAACCGGAAUUUACUUGUUGCUCAAAUUUGCCCCAAAAUAAAAUAAUUUUCAAUCAUAGGAGAAUUCACAGGGCCCAGCUCUCCAUUGGUGUUCCAAUCUAUUCUCUGACCUCUAUGCUGUACACAAGAAUCCUCAAUGGUUUUUCUGGAACCCAAGACAGAAAUAAUAUCCCAAAUGAUGCUUGCUCUAAGAGUAUCACUCACCCAGGGGGUUUACCCCCUGCAACUUUCCCUUUUACCAGUUUUGCUACAGAUUUUUAUGAACUUAGUUCCCCAGUCACCAGGGCCACAGAUGUUUGAAAUACUUUUCUGUCUUUUUUUUUAAGUGAUAAACAACUGAAUUCCUAUUCACUUUUACUCCACGAGUGACUUUACAAUACAUUAAAAAAAGAUAAACUGUCAGUAUUCUUUUCUUUAAAAACUGUAAAAUGCCUUUCCACUUAUUUCUUAUACUAUGUUGUCUCUCAGAUAAUACAUUGAUGCAAUUUUGGAUAAUGUUUUAAUGAAGAAGUUGACAGUAAUGCACAUUAAUUAAAAUAUGUAAAAAUCUA